CCUACGGGAGGCAGCAGUGAGGAAUAUUGGUCAAUGGGCGAGAGCCUGAACCAGCCAAGUCGCGUGAGGGAGUACUGCCCUAUGGGUUGUAAACCUCUUUUGUCGGGGAGCAAAAGCCGGACGUGUCCGGCUGUGAGAGUACCCGACGAAAAAGCAUCGGCUAACUCCGUGCCAGCAGCCGCGGUAAUACGGAGGAUGCGAGCGUUAUCCGGAUUUAUUGGGUUUAAGGGGUGCGCAGGCGGAUUUUUAAGUCAGCGGUAAAAUCGUGGGGCUCAACCCCAUCCAGCCGUUGAAACUGGGAUCUAGAGUGUGCGAGAGGUAUGCGGAAUGCGUGGUGUAGCGGUGAAAUGCAUAGAUAUCACGCAGAACCCCGAUUGCGAAGGCAGCAUACCGGUGCACAACUGACGCUCAGGCACGAAAGCGUGGGUAUCGAACAGGAUUAGAUACCCGUGUAGUC
This 457-nucleotide ribosomal RNA is filed under the name uncultured bacterium. Its description in RNAcentral is "partial 16S ribosomal RNA". It matches the Rfam family "Bacterial small subunit ribosomal RNA", at positions 338 to 795 of the family's 1533-position model. The record is from RNAcentral.